Molecule: ribosomal RNA, 406 nt
Filed under: uncultured bacterium
Lineage: Bacteria
Description: partial 16S ribosomal RNA
Rfam family: Bacterial small subunit ribosomal RNA
Source: RNAcentral
AUUGAACGCUGGCGGCAGGCCUAACACAUGCAAGUCGAACGAGUGGCGGACGGGUGAGUAAUGUCUGGGAAACUGCCUGAUGGAGGGGGAUAACUACUGGAAACGGUAGCUAAUACCGCAUACCAUCAGAUGUGCCCAGCUGGGAUUAGCUAGUUGGUGGGGUAACGGCUCACCAAGGCGACGAUCCCUCGCUGGUCUGAGAGGAUGACCAGCCACCCUGGAACUGGGACAGGGGCCAGACUCCUACGGGAGGCAGCAGUGGGGAAUAUUGCACAAUGGGCGCAAGCAUGAUGCAGCCAGGCCGCGUGUAUGAAGAAGGCCUUGGGGUUGUAAAGUACUGUCAGCGGGGAGGCGUUACCCGCAGAAGAAGCACCGGCUAACUCCGUGCCAGCAGCCGCGGUAAUAC